This 300-nucleotide unclassified non-coding RNA is filed under the name Volvariella murinella. Its description in RNAcentral is "partial internal transcribed spacer region". The stretch from base 1 to 46 matches the Rfam family "Eukaryotic small subunit ribosomal RNA", at positions 1786 to 1831 of the family's 1831-position model. The record is from RNAcentral. Lineage: Eukaryota; Fungi; Basidiomycota; Agaricomycetes; Agaricales; Pluteaceae.
AAGUCGUAACAAGGUUUCCGUAGGUGAACCUGCGGAAGGAUCAUUAACGAAUUCGAAACAAAGCGCCCGGCGGCUGAUGCUGGCCCCUCGGGGGCAUGUGCACGCCUCGGGCGCCUUCAAUUCGCUUCGAACCCCCCCCUUGUGCACUCCGCGUAGGUCGUCGGUGGGCGGUCCCCCUCCGCCUUUUCGCGCCUACGAAUUUUUGUCCACACGCCCCGAUCGCAUGUUAUAUGAGCAGCAGCAGCCUCUUUAUGUGAAUAACACAAAACACAACUUUCAACAACGGAUCUCUUGGCUCUC